GUGCUCACUUUGGCAGCACAUACACUAAAAUUGAAACGAUACAGAGAAGAUUAGCAUGGCCCCUAUGCAAGGAUGACACACAAAUUUGUGAAACGUUCCAUAUUUUU
This 107-nucleotide small nuclear RNA is filed under the name Zalophus californianus (California sea lion). RNAcentral also lists the same sequence under 1 other name. The record is from RNAcentral. Lineage: Eukaryota; Metazoa; Chordata; Mammalia; Carnivora; Otariidae.